This 680-nucleotide ribosomal RNA is filed under the name uncultured bacterium. RNAcentral describes it as "bacterial SSU rRNA". It matches the Rfam family "Bacterial small subunit ribosomal RNA", at positions 10 to 724 of the family's 1533-position model. The record is from RNAcentral.
AGUUUGAUCAUGGCUCAGAACGAACGCUGGCGGCAGGCCUAACACAUGCAAGUCGAGCGCACUUAUGACCUUCGGGUUAUAGGCGAGCGGCGGACGGGUUAGUAACGCGUGGGAACGUACCCUUUACUACGGAAUAGCCUUUGGAAACGAAGAGUAAUACCGUAUACGCCCUUCGGGGGAAAGAUUUAUCGGUAAAGGAUCGGCCCGCGUUAGAUUAGAUAGUUGGUGGGGUAAUGGCCUACCAAGUCUACGAUCUAUAGCUGGUUUGAGAGGAUGAUCAGCAACACUGGGACUGAGACACGGCCCAGACUCCUACGGGAGGCAGCAGUGGGGAAUCUUAGACAAUGGGCGAAAGCCUGAUCUAGCCAUGCCGCGUGAGUGAAGAAGGCCUUAGGGUCGUAAAACUCUUUCGCCAGAGAUGAUAAUGACAGUAUCUGGUAAAGAAACCCCGGCUAACUCCGUGCCAGCAGCCGCGGUAAUACGGAGGGGGUUAGCGUUGUUCGGAAUUACUGGGCGUAAAGCGCACGUAGGCGGAUUGAUCAGUUAGAGGUGAAAUCCCAGGGCUCAACCCUGGAACUGCCUUUAAUACUGUCAGUCUAGAGAUCGAGAGAGGUGAGUGGAAUUCCAAGUGUAGAGGUGAAAUUCGUAGAUAUUUGGAGGAACACCAGUGGCGAAGGCGG